UAAAAUCGGAUCAAUCUGUGGGGACAUGUGUUGGAAGUGGUGUGGUGGAGCGAGGUCCUUUUCUUUGAGUUGUUGAAAUUCCCACCUGCCUCAAUAAAUUAUUUUUCUUUCUUGCUUGCGGUGCAGUCCCAUAUCGCUUAAGCGACCUUUUCCUUGAGGAAAGAUUUCCGUAUCGUGAGGGCUCUUUCGUAUCGAUUCAUGUUCAUCAACUUCUUCUUCUUUGACUUAGACCGCUCCGUGCCUUUCACAGAUAGGAGAGAGGAUUGCUACUGGCUUUUGCUUCCUUGAUUGACAGAGACUGGCUACCAACCGUGCCACAAAACUUCAGCUUGCUUGAUUGACUAAAUAUCGUAUGAUAAUUGCAGAUUGGCGGACAGGGUACGGUUAGAAGUUUACUGAGAAGCGUGGAGCUUGCCGCCCAGUGGUGAUUGAAAUCAAAAAAUGACCUCCAAUCAACAACCCGGGAAUCCAUUCGCUACUGCUCCUCAUACAUCCGCUUUGAUCUUACCUCUAUUGCUUUCCAGACUGGCUAGAGGAAUGUCUUUUAAAUCAACUAGCUAGUUACUCUGCUUCGCACCUUUUCCUUUCUACCCCCUCUAUAGCUCCUCAUUUCGGUCCUUUUCAAAGUCCUUCGGGUGUAUGUCCGGUAGUGUAGCUUUUAGUCGUGGGCAAGUAAAAAACAUCUUUUUAGAAUAAUAUGAUUCUGUUAACAUAGUCUUAAGUAAUUAAAUUAUCCAAAUAGAAAAAAUUAAUG
Molecule: long non-coding RNA, 754 nt
Organism: Syzygium oleosum
Lineage: Eukaryota; Viridiplantae; Streptophyta; Magnoliopsida; Myrtales; Myrtaceae
Exons: 2
Source: RefSeq, a predicted model, not a curated record